UGGUUGUAAUAUCUUUUAUAUAUUUUUCUUCUGGAAAGCAUUAUGAAUGAAGUUUCAUUCAAGCAUAAAUUUGUCCUUAAAUGUAUAGUAUGAAGGGCCGGAAUUAUUUUUUUUAUGUUGCUCAAAAUUAGGGAAAUUUUUCUGCGAAAUCGUCAGGUAUCGUGAAAAACCCCAAAAUUCACCAAGAAAAGCCAUGGGACCAUAUAUAUUUGAGUGCGGUAAAAUCGCAAAUAGAUAUCGAGCUUCAAUUAGACAACAGCAGUUUUUCCAUAAUUAGUUUAUUAAAAGCGCCUUUUAAGGAGAUAAUUGCUAAAAAUAGCAUUGCCGGCAAUGGGGC
Molecule: long non-coding RNA, 337 nt
Filed under: Mytilus galloprovincialis (Mediterranean mussel)
Lineage: Eukaryota; Metazoa; Mollusca; Bivalvia; Mytilida; Mytilidae
Source: RNAcentral